This 6235-nucleotide long non-coding RNA is filed under the name Sus scrofa (pig). RNAcentral's name for it is "lncRNA (ENSSSCG00005002171.1)". The record is from RNAcentral. Lineage: Eukaryota; Metazoa; Chordata; Mammalia; Artiodactyla; Suidae.
CCACUGUACAGCAAGGGGGUCAGGUUAUCCUUAGAUGUAUACAUUGCAAUUACAGUUUUUUCCCCCACCCUUUCUUCUCCUAACCAAGGCUCAUGAGCAGAGCAGCAAACUCAGUCAUUCGUUGGAUUUAGUGCCUUAAGCCUCCUCUCCUGCCCCAUCCCUCUCCAGCGUUCCUUGCACCCCAGUCCCCAGACACGGACAAAUGAUAACCGUAGGAACAGCUGAAAAUUGUGAUGCCGACGAAUCUAUAUUGGAACAAAAUUCAGCAUCCCACAAAACUGCUUUUUGGUUGCAGGAGGCUGUUCUUGGGAGGUACACAGCAAGUCAUCCCGAAAUAUGGGGACAGUGAAUCAGUGGUAGGUACAUAAGAUGUCUGUGAUUACUGAUCUGCUAAAGUUCUUAAGGAUAGGACAGGAUGUGCCUCUGGACAAAGCAGGAAGAGCAAGGCCUGGAAAUCAAAUCAAGGCUUGACAAUGGAAAAAAAAAAAAGCCAACUGUAUUAACAUUAGCUGAAGCAAUAUUACAUAGAGAGAAAUGGUGAGAUGUGAGGAGCUGAGGAAAAGCAGUAAGAAGGAGCACAUCUUUGGGAGUUUACCUUGCCUCCCACCAGAGUAAUGGGAGCUCUGGAAACCCUUGAGCAUUACAGGCAGCUCAGAGCUUCCCUGAAUCCUCUCUUGAUAAGGAUCUUAAGGUUGGUCCAGGGAGCAAUGGGAAGGCAAAGAUUUGGUAAUUGAUUAGUCAUGUCUAUCGUGAGCACAGGGGUGGGCGAUUAGACCAGCCCCCCUGCCAUUCUGGACCCUUGCGCGCCCCUCAGAGGAUGGAAAUAUCUUAAGUCAUCUUGGCUAUUAAAAUCAUUCAUCUUGCUCACCUUGUUUUGAUUCCGUGAAUACCAACCUCCUAACUAGAUUUUGGCAACCCAUGUGACUUUCCUACAGGGGAAAGAAUGUGCUGACAGGCUGACAUAAAGUUCUCAGGCUGCUUCUCAGUGCUUGUCCCACUGUGAUUUAAUAUAUUUGUGGUCUGGCUUCCUCACCAGGCUGCUGUGAAUUUGGUUAGCCUGUCCCUUUCAGCCUGAUUAGCUCCACGUGCACAAAAGGAGCUCCAUCUCUGACCUGCAGAUGAGCCUUGCCAGUCUCCAGCUCCCCUGCCAUGCUGGCCCUGAGGGGUUCUUCUCUUGACAUUGCUAGCCGGCUACUCGGUCAUGUCAAUCACCCCAACCACAGCCAUCUACCCAGAGCCCAGAAUGAGCUGUGGGAGGCCUGUGAAAAGAGUGCUACAGCCACCAAAAUAACCUUAUAUGUUCUGCUGAAUAAAAAAGAAUAAGGAAGAGAGAUUGGGGGGAGAUGCCAAGAAUACGCAAUAGAAAACAAGCAGAAGGAGUUGGCAGUGUUUAAUCUAGAGCCAGGAAGAUCUGGGAGGCCCAACUGCUUCCCUGUCAUCAAAUAUCUGAAGGCCUGCAGUGAUGAAAAGGGGAUGGAUUUGUUCCCUGGGGCUCCAGAAGAAAGUAUGAGAACCAAGGGGUGACAGACACAGGGAGAUAGAUUUCGGCUAGAUAAAAAAGAGGAACUUUUAAAGGCAGUUUUCCUCUAAUAGCAAUAAUUCACUUGUCAUCUUCACUUUUUUCCUUUCUUCUUUCUUUGAUCAAAUUUGCGAGAAACGGGAGUUCCCGUCGUGGCCAGCGGAAACAAAUCGGACUAGGAGCCACGAAGUUGUGGGUUCAAGCCCUGGCCUCACUCAGUGGGUUAAGGAUCCGGUGUUGCUGUGAGCUGUGGUGUAGGUCUCAGACAAAGCUAGGGUCCCACGUUGUUAUGGCUGUGGCAUAGGCCAGCAGCUGUAGCUCCAACUCGACUCCUAGCCUAGGAACCUCCAUAUGCCGCAUGACUGGGUCACCAUGCUGUACAGUAGAAAAUUGGCAGAAAGCUGUAAACCAACUAUAACAGAAAAAAAAAAAUCAUUGUAUUAAAAAAAAAAAAGAAAAAAAUUUGAGAGAAGCAGUGUAAUCUUUCCAUGAGGAACACAAAUUGGAGUGGGAAUGCCUGGUUCAUUUUCUAGUUCUAUCACCUACUAGCUACAUUAACUUUGGCAAGUUACCUUACUUUCCUAUGUCUAUUUCCUCUGCUAAUAUUAGUACCUACGUACUUAACCCAUGUGAUUAUGGUGAGGAAUAACUAAAUUAUACUUGUAAAGUGUUUAGAAGAGCACCCAGCAAUAAGUGGUAGCAACUAUUAUUUUAAAUUACAAUUUCAUACCACCUAUACUAUUAUUUAAUAUUUUUCUUUAAAUAGACAUUAUUUAUAUAAAUUUAUUUAUUUUAAUUUUUUUUGGUCUUUUUAGGGCCGCACCUGCAGCAUAUGGAGGUUCCCAGGCUAGGGGUCUAAUUGGAGCUGUAGCUGGCGGCCUAAACCAGAGCCACAGCAAUGGUGGAUCCAAGCCACAUCUGCAACCUACACCACAACUCAUGGCAACGCCAGAUCCUUAACCCACUGAGCAAGGCCAGGGAUUGAACCUGCAACCUCAUGAUUCCUAGUCAGAUUCAUUAACCACUGAGCCAUGAGGGGAACUCCUUUAUAAAUCUAUUUUAAAGGAAACUUUCUAUUACUUUUGUAAACGCAAAGCCAGAAACACUUGCCCUGUAUAGAUAGAAACUGCACAACCAAACAUAAAACAAUGUUAUUAAAUUUUAGCUAGCUACUGUUGCCUGUUCCACGACCUAAUUUUGAGGACGGCUCUCUUUUCCAUAAGGAGACAAGCAAGUUACAAAAAACGGUCUGGUACUUCACUGAGACUUUUUUGGUUGACUGUAGUCAGAAGGAAGAGUCUGGCAAGUUCAAGGAAGUGAAACACCAGUGCAGCUGCAACUCCUGCUCUGGGGAGAGAGAGCAGGGAGGGCUGGGGAGGGAGACAGGGCAAGAUCAAAGGGAUGGUUUAAAAAGGAAAUACCUCUCCUAGAAUGUGACUUUGUGAUCUUUUGCACCAUGGAACCAUCUCACAGGGCACCCAGGGGGUAGGAUUAGCACACUUUCGAAAGCAAGGUCAGAGAUACUUUGUAGCCCACAGUACUCAUCAGCGCCCCCUGGAGGAUGCCCACAGACAGUCCCCCAGACACACCAGCUGCCUCUCACUUCCUACUUGAAGGUAUGUUCUGGCUGCAGGGUGUAUGCUCCAGGCUGCAUGCAGAAGUAGAGGGAUGCUGGGGUGCACCAUCUCUCCAAGCAUCCCCAGAGAGAUUAAGCUCUUUGCUCCAUGGUAACUCAUUCAUCAACACAUCCUUUACUUGGCCCUCCUCCCCUCCCCGGUCCACUUCACUCUCACCAGGCCCUCUGGGAUUACCUCCCAAAGAAGUUCCUGGCACUCUAACCCUUGUCUUAUGAUCUGCUUUGGGGAAACCCCAACUAUGGCACAGUUUAAACUUCUGACAGCGGAAUGAGUUGCCCAGUGAGUAAGUUCCAUUUUAUUGGAGCACUCAAGAUUUAGCUGAGAAUGUUCCAUGAAGAUUCAUGGAUCAGGUAAGAAUUCAACUGGAAGGACAUUUAGUAUCCUUCUGACACUUAGGUCUCAUGAUUCUAGAUCAAGAGUUGGCAAACUACAGCCCACAGCCCACAGCCACUCCACUGCCUGUUUUGAUACAGCCCGUGAACUAAGAAAAUAUAUAUUUUAAAUAUACAUAUAUAUAUAUAUAUACACACACACACACAUAUAUAUAUAAAGGAAAUACCUAAUAUAUAUAUUAGCUUUUUAGGGCCGCACCCGUGGCAUAUGGAGGUUCCCAGGCUCAGGGCUGAAUCAGAGCUGUAGCCGCCAGCCUACACACCACAGCCACAGCAAUGCCAGAUCUGAGCUGUGUCUGCAAACUACAGCACAGCUCAUGGCAACGCCGGAUCCUUAACCCACUGAGUGAGGCCAGGGAUCGAAUCUGCAACCUCAUGGUUCCUAGUCAGAUUCAUUUCUGCUGAGCCAAGAGGGAACUCCUACAAUUUUAAAUGGUUGGAAAAAAAAUCAAAACAAGAUUUAUGUGGCCCUCAGAUUUCAGUGUCCAUCAAUAAAGGUUUUUUUAUUGAUAAAGUUUUAUUGGAACAUGGCUAUACUCACUCAUUCCCAAAUCAUCAGUAAUAAUUUUAUUUUUAAAACAACAGAGCAUAAGAGUCUACUGUACAGAACAGGGAACUAUCCAAGCUCUUGGGAUAGAACAUGAUGGAAGAUAGUAUGAGAAAAAGAAUGUGUAUAGAUGUAUAAAUGGGUUACUUUGCUGUACAGUAGGAAUUGGCACAUUAUAAAUCAACUAUACUUUAAUAAAAAGAAAAUAAGCUAAAAGGGCAUGAGACCUUUUCUUGCCCACCCUCUGACCACUGUCUGAAAUGUUCUCAUCCAUGCUUGAUGGCUUCAUUCAGGAUGGAUUCAUUCCUCCUCAAACUAAAACAAAUAUCCAGCCCAGGACCAUGUCCUGAGUGAGAUCUUAGAUCAAAACUCAAAUGUCUGUUCAACAUUGGAUUAAGAGGAGGGUGAGGAGGUGGGUGUUGCUGCUUACUGGUGGUGCGACUUGGAACAGGGCAUUUAACCGCAUGGGGUAUCAAUUUCAUCACCUGUCAAAGGCGGAAAUGAUGCUGCCCAGCCUGCCAGGAUUACUGGACAAGAGAGCUGCCCACAAAAAAAAAAACACAGUGCCACCUGGCCCAGCCUCUCUCUCCAGCGUUAUCAUAUGACUGGACCUCUGCUUCCUCUGACCACCACACUCCCUGCACACUGGCUCUCCUUGAGCUCCUUGACUUUGCCAAGCUCUUGGCUACCUCUGGGCCUUUGCACAUGCUGCCUUUUUUUUUUGCCUGAAACACCUUUUUUCUCAUCCCCCCUCUCCACUGCCCCUUGGCUUGGCUGCUUCUCAGCCUUUCUGACCCCCAAUCCAAGACAGGCCCCUUCUGGAUGCUGCUCCAUCUUUAUGCUUGAUUUUCUCAUCCCACGUGUAGCAAUGUCUAAUUAUAGUCAAUUAAAAAAUAUUUUUUAUUAUUAUUAUUUUUUGCUUUUCAGGGCCACACCAGCAGCACAUGGAGGCUUCCAGGGUGGGGGUCAAGUCGGAGCUGAAGCUGCCAGCCUACACCACAGCCACAACAAUGUGGGAUCCGAGCUGCAUCUGUGACCUAUACACCACAGCCCAUGGCAAAGCUGGAUCUCCAACCCACCGAGCAAGGCCAGGGAUCGAACCCACAGCCCCAUGGUAGUCAGAUUCUUUUCUGCUUCGCCACAACAGGAACUCCCAAUUAUAGUUAAUUCUCAUCUUCGUAGUGGUUAUGUUCUAUAAAGUUGCCAUGAACACGGAAUUAGCAAAUACGGAACCUUUGCUCCUAAGGGAAGAACCUAAGGUUAGGUUUCUGUAAGCCUCUGGUCCCAUUUUCAUCAACAGAUUGAUAUGUAACCUUGUUUUAUGUGUGUUUCUGUUUCAAGACCCCUUAUUUAAAUAUGUACUGUUGAGUAAAUCAACUAUAAUUAAAAAACUUUUGUAAAAUAAAUAUAUGCCAUUGAUUCGUUCACAAUGAAUUCACAGCCAGUACCACUACAACCCAUGCCUGAACAAAGCGUAUCUAACAUGCAUUUUCUCUAUAAGGCACAUGGCAGCCUUCAUGUGCUUAAGGGUGCUAGACACUAUAUUCGGGGGUGAUUUUUAAACAGCAAAAUCACCAACACGAAGCACAAAAAUGCAAAACGAAACAAAACAAAAAACCAUGGCACUAAACAGACCACAAAAAGGACGCUUGUUUAUAGUUCUCGGAGCUGAAACAAGAAGGCAGAGUGACAUCUUGUUUUGAUCUCAGCUGGGAACAUGUGUGUUGGCAACUGAAAUUUUUGGCCACACUGUUCACAUCCAUGUAUGACCAUGAAAAGUGCUACAGAUACUGAUUUGGGGGUUACAAAUAAAUUUGAGUGAGUGGGAGAAUUGGUAAAUACACAAUCUGCAAAUAAUAAGAACCUACUGUACUUUCUUCUCAUUUCUCUCAUUUGCUAGUGUGUAAGUACACUGGGGGCUGGUUCACCUCUUACCACUUUAUCUCUAGCAUCUGGAAAAUUGCCUGGUACAUAGUAGGCCCUCAGUAAUCAGUACCGUUUAUGAACGCAUGAGUCAGUUCAGUGAAAGUGCUUUGGCAGAAAUGACAGCUAGUGUUUACGGAGGAGACACCAUAAGCUGCCCUGUGUGAAGUGCUUUUUCUAUGUUCCCUCCAUCAAUAAGGGAAACAGCAGAUUAUUG